This 251-nucleotide ribosomal RNA is filed under the name uncultured Staphylococcus sp. RNAcentral's name for it is "partial 16S ribosomal RNA". It matches the Rfam family "Bacterial small subunit ribosomal RNA", at positions 524 to 774 of the family's 1533-position model. Lineage: Bacteria; Bacillati; Bacillota; Bacilli; Caryophanales; Staphylococcaceae. The record is from RNAcentral.
UACGUAGGUGGCAAGCGUUAUCCGGAAUUAUUGGGCGUAAAGCGCGCGUAGGCGGUUUUUUAAGUCUGAUGUGAAAGCCCACGGCUCAACCGUGGAGGGUCAUUGGAAACUGGAAAACUUGAGUGCAGAAGAGGAAAGCGGAAUUCCAUGUGUAGCGGUGAAAUGCGCAGAGAUAUGGAGGAACACCAGUGGCGAAGGCGACUUUCUGGUCUGUAACUGACGCUGAUGUGCGAAAGCGUGGGGAUCAAACA